RNAcentral lists this ribosomal RNA (247 nucleotides) under uncultured bacterium. RNAcentral's name for it is "partial 16S ribosomal RNA". It matches the Rfam family "Bacterial small subunit ribosomal RNA", at positions 90 to 334 of the family's 1533-position model. The record is from RNAcentral.
UAUGAGUGGCGAACGGGUGAGUAACACGUGAGUAACCUGCCCUCUUCUUUGGGAUAACGCCCGGAAACGGGUGCUAAUACUGGAUAUUCACUGGCCUUCGCAUGGGGGUUGGGUGGAAAGGUUUGUUCUGGUGGGGGAUGGGCUCGCGGCCUAUCAGCUUGUUGGUGGGGUGAUGGCCUACCAAGGCUUUGACGGGUAGCCGGCCUGAGAGGGUGACCGGUCACAUUGGGACUGAGAUACGGCCCAG